CUGAUACUCCCUCCGUUCCAAAUUAGUUGAUCCAUAUUUAUCUAGACAUGAAUAUAUCUAGACACUAAACAAGUAUAGAUAUAUUCGUAUUUAGACAAAUUUAAGUCAAUUAAUUUGAAACGGAGGGAGUAUGUG
Triticum aestivum (bread wheat) is the source of this 135-nucleotide non-coding RNA. Lineage: Eukaryota; Viridiplantae; Streptophyta; Magnoliopsida; Poales; Poaceae. The record is from Rfam.